Molecule: long non-coding RNA, 8037 nt
Organism: Felis catus (domestic cat)
Lineage: Eukaryota; Metazoa; Chordata; Mammalia; Carnivora; Felidae
Exons: 3
Source: RefSeq, a predicted model, not a curated record
CUCUCACCCAGCAGCCUCGGACACCAACAGAAGCCACGCUUUCACCGCCCACUUCCUGCCAGUCGGACCAAUCAGAACCUUCGGCACUCUGGAGGCCCGCCCUCUUCUCGCUUACAGUUUAUUAAAGAGACAGGAGUGUGAUUUCUAAAAGCUAUAAGGGUGAUUUAAUUCCUGGGUACUUCGGAUGCGGACGUACCUUAGGUUUCAGUUCCCCAUGGUCGACCUUUCGCUGGAAGCAGAUGAUCCUCCUUGUGACAAAUUGUCAGAAGCUCAAUAAUAGCCUAAUGCUACCUCAUGAUGCCUACGUUGUUCACCUCACCUAUCUCACUGUGCAGGCAUUUUAUCAUCUCACAUUAUCACAAGAAGAAGGGGCUGGCAGGAAAUAAAAUCUAUUCCUUAAUGAGAGUCCUCCUUCCCUGUAGGGAUGAGAACUACAGAGGCUCUUUGCUGUCAUUAGUCAUCUGUCCACCUUGUUGAUUGUUGGAAAUACCCAUGAUCCCAGCAUCUACACUGUGUCAAGGAUAAGGGAAUCUUUGAUGUGGAUGAACACCCCUCAGUUAGGGUUCAGUUUACUGGUGCACCAUGGAAAACUUAGUACAUGUAAGUAAUAUAUAAUUUCUCUGAAACUUUGUACUUUCCAGCUAAUUAUUCUGAUGCAAAACCUCUCUCAGACAGUUAACUUAUCUGAGAGACUAUGCUAUCUCCUAAGAACAGAGGGCAAACUACCAUGUUCAUUCUUCUUUGUUCAUUCAGUUGCCUUCUUCAAAUGAACCUGGAUUUGUGUACUGAACUCUAGCGAACAUUUCAUUUAUUUAUUCAUUGAGCAUGUAUUUAUUUUUUGCUCUGUGCUCAGUCCAUUAUGAGAUUCUGAAAUUACAACGAAUAACUUAUUAUAGUUUCUGGCCAGUAAUGACUCACAGUCAGAGCAAGGAAAGUUGAUUGUGGGGUGGUGGCUAAAUAAUCAAUAAUUAUGGCAAUGGUAAGUGUUACAAUAGAGGCAUAAAAAUAUGCAUAAUGGGAGGACAGAAGAUGGUCUUAAGUCUGUUUGGAUACGCCAUGCCAUGGGUGAUUUGUAGAAGGAAAGGGUAACUGGGCUGAGUCUUAGGAAAUGAAUACAAGUUUACUUGAUAUACAGAUGGAAGAAAAGAAUUAUAUUCCAAACCAAGUAAAUGGAGUCAGGGAGGGAGACAGAGAGAAGGAGGAGGAGCAGAAGGAAGAGGAGAAGGAAAAGAUUGGGAAGACGAGAUUGGGUGAGAGAAAGAGUGGCCUGUGUUAGAAAAUGCAAGCAGUCCAUCAUGACUACUAGAAUGAAGAGUCCAUUGGAGGACUCAUGCGAGAUGAGCAUGGAAAGGAGGACAGAAGAUCAAGCACAGUGGGUAAAGGAUGAAUAUUAUAAUUAGGCUGUCCCAUGCGAAAACUCAAGUUCUGCCCUUUUGGUGUGGUCAACUGAAAAAGGUUACUUGACCUGGUGUCCUUAAUGGUAAAUACUUCCAUUGUAACAUUACUGUAAGGAUUCCAUGGAUUCGUGAAUGUAAAGAAACUAGCACAGUGCAUGCCACAGCAGAAUUCCAGAAAUCUUUUUCUCUCCCCCUCCCCACACACCUUGACAUUUAUCACAAAAGCCAUAAAACUGAAGGUUACUGAUAAAAAGUGCUUGGUGGGUGCAUUUGGGAAGUAGUGGGAAAUUGCUUGAAGAGAGAGGGUGAAGCUGAACUAAAGAGAUCUUUCGAAGUGGAGUGGAAGCACUAUCGAUUUAAAAUCACAAGCUUAAACAUUACUUAAUUGCAAAUGUAGUAUUAAAAUGAAACCAGAAACCAAUGAUAUAAAUUGCUAUGAUCUUGUCACCUAAUCAAUCAAUCGGUACUGUCAUUUAUUCAUGAUACUUCUAUUUGUUAGGACCCAAAUCUAUAUUAUUUUCAAUGUUUACAGAUUUUUAGAAAUAAUAUAUAAAUAAGAUGUUUACAUUUGAAUUUUUACUUGAAAUUAAAUCAUGAAAAUUUUAAGUUCUUCUAUAGGUUCCCCCCCCCCUUUUUUGUUCUUCUUACCUCUUUCUUCCAUCAGGAAUCAUUGUUAAUAGCUUAAUGUGUUUCCCUGUACGUAUUUCUUCGUGCUUAUAAAACUGUAUACCAACAAAAGCACCUAUACUACACUGUUGUUCAUUUUCCUAAAAAUGGAGUAACAUUAUACAUUUAUUUGUAACUUAUUUUUCUUACAUAGAAAUAUAUCAGGGAGAUUUGGGGUGUGGAUAGCUCAGUCAGUUAACUGACUCUUGAUUUCAGUUUAGGUCAUGAUCUUGGGGUUCGUGGGUUCAAGCCUCGCCUGGGGCUCUGUGCUGAUAAGAUGGAGCCUGCUUGAGAUUCUCUCUUUCUCCCUCUCUCUCUCUGCCCCUCCCCCCUCAUACUAUCUCAAAAUAAAUAACUUUUUAAAAAAUUAAAAAAAUAUAUCAUUUACAUCCAUCUAAUAGGAUUCCGUAAAAUUGAACGUUAUACACACACUGAAAACUAAUUAUAGAAUCUUUAGAUCUAUAAGGGACCUUAGAAGUCACCCAGUCCAGUGGUUCCCAAAGAUGGGUCUUUUCAGUUAAAUUAUAUUCCUAGCAGAUAGAGAUUUUGAACACAGGGUAAGUGUUGGACGCCUAAUCAAAGAUUAGUUUGGCAGUGGUGGGAAGAAGGUUUGGAGGGAGGGAUCUGGGGUCAUAUUUCAGGUCUCAUCCUUAAUCUUAUUUUCUCAUGAAAGCAUUCCUUGAUAACCUUAACUUGGAUAAGUGACCCUCUUAUACAUCCUAAUAGAAUCUUCUAUUUGUUCUUUGUUAUGUUCACUGGCAUAAUAUUAAUAAAUUAUUAGUUAUUAAUAAACGAGUUAUUAUCCACCUUUUAUGCUGUUUAUAUCUCCGUUAGCUACUAUAGUGCUUGACAGAUAAAAAAAAAAAAGACCCAAAAAUAAAUGAAUGAGCAUGAGAGUUUUUUGGGGACGGGGAUUGUUGCACAGAUGCUAAAAUUUGAUACAGCAGAGUGGGAGUAGGGGAUCAGAGUCAGUGACAAGUGGAUUGCAUCAAUGGCUCAGAGACUGAUAUUUUCCUUAUGAAUUUGUGGCAAUUAAGGUUAUUUUCCUUAGCAUGUUAGGACCAUAAGACAGAUUUUGUUGGUUCUUUUAGAAAUUAUUACACUCUUUGGAAGACACUCAUUGUAACUAAAUGCAUAUAGAUAUUGUUCAUUUAAAAUGGGAGCUGUCCUUUCACAGUGCUAACAUUUUCAACACAGGUCACUUUGUUGCCAAUGUUGAGGUAAGUUAUACUCAGUUAAUGGUGAUUGUUUAGGGGGCAUAUAAUUAGAAGAAAGGGGAGGUGAUGAUUUGGAGGCAUAUUUCGUCUAGGUUGCCGUGUGAUGAGAAAAAACAUUUUUACCCCACAGCAAAAAAAUGGAAACCUUUUUAGUGACCCUACAAUAGCCUCUCUAAUGUACACAGUGCUACUUUAGACCCCCUUAAACGAGGUUUCAACACUGGCUUCCACUUAACAUUCAUGUCUUCUUUUGUAUCGAGAGUAUCAAUUAAGCUUUAACAAAAUACAGAUCUGAGAGACAUUCUGUCUCCUUUGACUAUUUAUUGAUUUAAUUCAUCUCAUUCUCAAUCUUAUUUCCCUUUGUAUUGGUUAAGAUUCUUCUGGCUGCAAGCAACAGAAAUCAGUAAGUUAAAAAAAGGGUGAUUUAUUGGAGAUACACCAACGUAGCUCACAGAAAAGAAGGAUGAGCCAAACAGUAGUGCCUCAGGAAAGGCAGGAGUGACAUAGAACCUGGGUACGUAAGUGGUGAAUUGUGAAGCUGUUCCAACUGUGUCUACUGCAUUCUUUCGUUUUGUUUUAUUAUUAUUUUUUUAUUGAGAGGGAGAGGGUGCCAGUGAGCCAGGGCAAAGAAAGAGAGACAGAGAGAGAGAAAGUCAGGGUUCACCUGAAGCAGAGCUUGUGGUCACCUGGUGUGGGACUCAUGCUUACCCAAAACGGGGCUCAAGCUCAGCAGAAGUGGGGCUCGUGCUUACCUGAUAUGGGACUCGAACUCAUGAACUGUGAGAUCAUAACCUGAGCCGAGGUCAGAUUCUUAACUGACUGAACCACCCAGGUGCCUGAGAUUUUAUUUUUAAGUAAUGUCAAUACCCAAUGUAGGCCUCAAACCCACAACCCUGAGAUCAAGAGUUGUAUGCUUUACUGACAGCCAGCCAGGUACUCCUGUGUCUACUGCAUUCUCAUUCACUUAGUUUCAAGUUCAUGAGUGUGAGUGAGGCAGAUCUCUGUCAUCCUAUUUUACUUUUGACUGUAAUAGAUAAAGGUCAAGGGACUCUGAAAUAUGGUACAGUUAGUGAUAGGAAUUGAAGGAAAAAGAUUGUUGUGGGGUAAAUUCCUCAGCCAAAUAUGACAGGACAUGGUGGCUUACUGUGGGACAUAGUGGGACAGUAGAGAAAAAGAUGAAUCAAGGAAAGUCUAACUUUUAUAGCCUGGGUCAAUUGGGAAAAUAGUGAUGCCAUGGGAAAAUUUGUAAUAUAGAGUGCUUUUUUGGGAGGAGUGGGAAGGAGGGAAUUAUUAUACAUUUGGUUUUAUGCAUAUUUGAAUUUAUCACUAUGGUGAGAAGUCCAAGUUAAGAUUUUUAAAGGGAGUUAUAGUGAAAUACAACCGGAAAUAUAAAGUCAGUCUUGGCAUAGCCAUAAGAACAGAAUAACUCUCCUUGGAGUUAAUUUUGUACGGCCUCUUCUAGUUUCUUUGAACAUAGAGAACCAUGCCUGAAUCUUCAUGCAAUCUCCUAAGGCUUAGCAUGUGGUAGGUGCAAAAGAAGUCACUGUGGUGUUAAACUGAAUUGAAGUCAAGAGAGAAAAGAGUGAACUGCUAAGGAAUGUUCACUUUCUCCUGGAACUAGUUUAAAAUUUUGUCUUCAGUUUUAAAGUCUCCGCCAGAAUAAACCUAUUUUAGAGGCCACCUCUUUCCAUAACCAGAGAGUCCAUCUGCACGAUUUAUUUCCUCCAGUCAGGUUUAUAGACCAGGGAAAGUUUUUUUUUUGUUUGUUUGUUUGUUUGUUCAUUUGCCCUCUCUUGGUUGUUGGGUUUAUUGCAUUACAGAUGCUUAAACCCUAAACAUUAGCCUCUUGAGCGAAAACAAUGAGAGAUAUUUUAGCCAGAGUUUUCCUUUGAUUCUGGCAAAAGAAAAAAAAAAAAAAAGAAAAAAGAAAAAAAAUAACCUGGAAAGAUAGCAUUCCAGAAUAAUUUUGCUUAUUCUUCACUACUUGAUCAAUACGCCCACCAGCAGCAAGAGACAGAGUCUUCCUUCACGCUGGAAGUAGGAACUAGUUUAGACACCCUGAUAAUAAGUGACGGUAUUGUGGAGAUUGAUGGGGAUGGGCAAAGUCUAGAUUUUAUUUGGUUUCAUCUUAACUGCAUUUAUUCUAUCUCCAUUUUAUUGCCCAUUCGUUGCUCCAUGUCAGUUUCAUUCUAUUCUAUUUCAACUUGAGAUAUACACCCAAUAUAUAAGGAUGGACAUUUUCACUCAAAAGCAUUUUCAGAUCUUGUCACCAGCUAAAUCCUCUCUUAUGGAUUUCAAGUGUCUUAUAAUGAAUUUUAGUGAUUUUAAGCUCUCACCUUUUAAAAAGCUUAGAGACUGCAAACAUUUUACUAAAAGUGUAAUACUACAGUACCUUGGUAAUUUGGUAAAGGUUACUGUUUAUAAUUACCUUCAUGACAGGAAGGUUGCUAUCAAAGACACUGUAGUGACCUGCAUAAGGACAUGAGGUCACAUAUAAAAUUUGAGCAAAAUUAUUACCAAAUUCCUCUACAAAAUGGGUUGUUAUAUACUAAGUGAAAUACAAUUUUUGAUGGGUGGAGUUACUGAGCUCUUUAAGUGACUUAGACUCUUCUGAUCUGGAAUCAUGUUUGUUGAAAAUGACAACAGUUUACGUUUCCAAAUGUUGUUGAUCCUUAAUAAAAUAAUCUGCAUCCAUUUUUGCUCUAUCCUGAACUAUAAAAUAAAAUUAGUCACUCUUCUCCAUUAAAUCCCCUUUCCUAUGGUACAAUAAUAGCAAAACUAUUGAGCAUUGGUGCGUACUAUGCUCACCAUUUUACAGGAGACAGCUACUCUUUAUGCUGCUUACACAAAGGAGGAAACGAAGGCACAUAAAUGUUAAUUUGCUCAAAUAAGUGGUUGCAUUGACAUUUAAAUUCAAAUGGUUUAACUCUAGAACUCGCACUUUAGACGACUUUCGCCUCCUGUUUCAGAGACAGGAGUUGUGUUUGGUAUACACGAGAGACAUAAGGAUAAACAUCACAAUUCCCGAAGUAAAGAUGUUUUCUUCUGGCCUGCUGCGAAGGGCAUUCAGUUCUGGGGCAGCCAAUUUCUAGUAGUUAUAUCCACUGAGUGUUUUCAGUACUGUAAACCCAACUUUACAAUAGUGCUAUGAGGUAGGUAUGAAUGUUUACAUUCCUCAGUUGAAGAUACUGAUGGAGAGGAAGAUUACAUAGCUUAACCUAAGGUAGUAGCUGUGAGUGCUAAUAAUAAAGUCAGCAGUUAGCCAAAUUCCAGAAUCUUCCUGCUGCAUCACAAAUACUGCCUCCCUAAUUAUUUUUUACCCUAACCUCCAUUUAUACUCUAGUUCUGGUGGGUAUGUAGCUGACAACCAUCUACUUCAGAAAGAACUAGAGUGCUCGUUAAAAAUGCAUCUAGCCAGUUUCAAAUGCGCCUAGCCAGCUUCAAUUGUAGCAAUUCAGAUUUAGUGGGUCUGGUAUGUGGCCCAAGAAUCUGCAUUUUAGCCAUCGUUCCUUGCCAUUGUUAGGCACAAUAAGCUUGGAGAAUUACCUCAGGAAAUGUUCCUGACGUAAUGACUUUUUAAUCUUUAUUCUUAUUUGAGUCUUAUAUAUGUCUUUUGAAAAAUAACCGGUAAUAUUGUCCUAAAACCUCUUGCUGUAUCACUGCCUGAAUAAAACUACAAGGCUUGAAAACUCUCCAGGACAUGACUUAACAUUUCUGGUUUCUGAUAUAGGAGAAACGAUGACAGAAAGAGCAACUUGCAUGCAAGUUGAAAGAUCAUGGCCUUGGGGCUGAAGGCCCUGGGGAAUUAAUUUUAGCCAUAACAAGCAAAGACAGGGGAAAAAUAUGAACUCUGCAGAACAGAUAAUUCUAUGUUCAGUCUAUAAUUUUAAACAGAAUUUUUCUGCCAGUUGUUAGCUCCUGUGGUUUCUAUUUAGCAUUGUGUAAUGGUCUCUCAAUUGUCCAGUGAUUUACCAGUUAUUUUAGGAUUUCUAUUUCUUUGGUACUUAUCAUUCCAUGCCUACUGAAAAAGUGAACAAUAAAAGUAAUCAAUUGGGAACAUUUUAAUGAGGCAAUCCAACCCAAAGCUUUGCAUUCAAGUAUUUGUUUAAAUUUGAGGAAGUCAUGCCUCCAGUUCUGUUUUACUUGGGCUAAUGAAUGAGAAAAGACAAAAAAAAAGAUUAGAGAAUGUCAGGUAACUUUGACCUGCAGGAAAAAAAAAAGUCAUUUCUGAGGAGGAGUUCAUAUCAGAAUCUGUUUUGAACAGAUGGUUUGCUUAAAUUGUUUACAACCCACUACCAAGAAGCAUUGAGGAACAAGAUUGUAAAUUUGGCCUUGAUAUGAUACCCAUGCUGUGGGAUGUCCCGAAUGUUAAGAUUUAAGCACGAAGAGAUUGCCAUAACCCUGUUUUUCAGUUCUUUUGUGCUGUACCUGGCUUUCUAGAUUCCAUUGUUCUUGUGAGAUGGAGACCCUGACUAUAAUUUUCCCUAUUUAAUUGCUAGAAAAAUGUACAUCUUAAUGUGUAUUAAAUUAGCAACUCAAGCUUCCUAAGUCAGCGAGGAGAGCAAGGAUUUCUGACCGGUUCAUGUACAUGAUGAUCUCUUUCAAAGGUGCAGGAAUUGGUUAACUCUGACAAUUCUGCAGUUUUCUGGUAAUCUUAAUUAGUUAGCUCGGGGGCACCUGGGUGGCUCAGUUGGUUAAGCGUCCGACUUCUGCUCAGGUUAUGCUAUCGCAGUUUGUGGAUUUGAGCCCCCUAUUGG